RNAcentral lists this long non-coding RNA (1504 nucleotides) under Capra hircus (goat). Its description in RNAcentral is "lncRNA (ENSCHIG00010031539.1)". Lineage: Eukaryota; Metazoa; Chordata; Mammalia; Artiodactyla; Bovidae. The record is from RNAcentral.
CUUCACAGUGAGUCUCUAGAAUAAUGCCUUCAUUUUUUUCCCUGAAGGUAUCCCACAACCUAGAUGGAGAUUAUAAGAUACUUUCCUCUCUGUGAAUAAUUGCAGUCUACUUGGCUCAAUGUACCAAGGUUUAUGGUAGAGUGUUUAAGACAAAGCCAAGCUUGGGUUUCUUUGAAGGACAGCAAGGAGUAACUUACUGACUUUAUUCUCAUUUAGGAUGGUUUAAAAACACACAAACGAAUGUUCUCUUCCAAACAUCAAAUGACAGCUCCAAAAAUACAGGCUGAAAAAAAAAUCCCAUCAUCCAACUUUUUGGCCACAACAAACAACAGUUUACGAGAAACGAUAGAUUCAAGAGACGCGGCAGCAUUCCUUAGCGUCUAAUGUCAAUUGACAAUCAGCAGGAGAACCACAAUAAACAAGCAGCAGCAGGCGGAGCAGAAAAGUUACAAACCCACACCAUAUGGUGGAGCUGCCACUGUUGUUGGGCAACUCACCUUCGGUCCCCCUGACCUCAUAGAGGACCAGGCACAGCCAUGUGACUCUGAGAUGGCAUUGGCUCUGAUGGAACCCCACCAUCCCUCCAGCAUCCCAGUGCACACAUCCAUUACAUAUGGUCUUCUCAGUCCACUGGCAUCUUAGCCAUGAACUCUUCCCUCCAGAUCACCUAAACCACGUUGCCCAAACUUUGUUCUCAUCCCAAGAAAUGGUCCUUAACGAACUAGUUCCAAGGUCAAGGAAGACUCAAAAUGCUGCCUACAUCAUCAUCAGCAGGGACUCAGGUGCCUUCUAGUUUCCUGUACUGUGAAACCUAGGGCAUCACUUGCAUUUGGGGCAGCGGGGAGAGGAAGACAGAAGAGAAACCCCCUCCCUCUAAGAAACCUCCUAGAAGUAAAAUCAUUCGCUUAGAUCACUGCUCAUUUAUAAUGAACGAAUAGAUCAUUCUUUUAAAGUUUGUUGACCUAAACUAGGGCCCACGGCUUCUCCGGGUUAUAGGAAGGCUGAAAGAAGUGGACUUUUACCUGGGACAUAACUACAGUAUUAAAAGUUAGGACACUAAGACAGAGGAUGAGAAGAGAUGUUGGGAUUGGGGUGGGGAGCAUCUGGAACCCUGCUGUGCCAGCACGAUCCACUUCUCAUGAAACACUGGACACAAUAAUGACUGAUAUUUAACAUUCUUUGAUUGCUUAUUAUGUAUCAGGCACUACAGUGAGCACUCCGCAUCUCUUACCUUGUGAGUCCUCAAAACUGAUCAAGUUAGUACUCCUAUUUUACAGAUGAGGAAAUCAAGCCUCAGAGAGGUUAAAUGAUUUUUCCAAAGACACCCAGCUGGAAAUUAGUGCAGUUGUCUGCACUAAUUCAAUUUCAUCUUGACUUUGCAAACAAAUGAGCAAAACUCAUGCUCUUGACAGCACAGUAUUAGUAGAUCAUUUUAUAAUUCAGCAUCCCUGCACCAGGCUCUUAUUCUGACUUUGCCUUAAUAUUUGCCUAGUGGACUUCUGUU